AGGGGAGGAGCCCAGAGAAGGUUAAAUCUCCCAUCUCACCCUUGGCAUCCCUUCCCUCUGUCCAGACUUCAUACCUUCUUCUUCUCUAGAACUCUCUUCCAUCCUUGUGGUCACUGACCAACUCAGGAGAUAUUACUGAGAGACAGGAGGCAACAAGGUCCAGAGACUGGGCUGGUGGUCAGCCCAGGGACCCUUCCAACCACACUUCCCCAACCCCUGAAACAUCUUCUUAGCAGCCAGCCCUUGGGAAAAGUGAUCCUAAACCCUCCACUGCUCUGCAACUGUGCGUAGGGCGGCUUUCCCUUAUUGGGGCAGGUAUGAUGCAGUGACUAAGUCGACCUACAGCUCUGAAUGAGGGCUCUGAGAAGGCUCAGACCACUCACUGCAUCCGUGGCCCUACAAGGAGAUGGUUCCAUGGAGCAAGCACAGAAGUAAGGUUACAGCGUGGGGAGGCUGGGGGAGGUGCUAAGGAGGCUGGCGUUCUGACCCAAGCAAGGAUUCUUAAGGACCCCCUAGCUCAGAAUAAUCACCUCUUCUCUUCCUCGAGUUCCUGGGCAAUAGAUUCCAAAAGGGAGGCCCCUCUUCUGAAUCCCAAAGUCAGGACAGCCCGAUUCACAGCAGGGCAGAGAUUGUGGGCAGCCACCUACUUGCACCAACAGCUGUCCACCUGUCUCCCCAAAUCCUGCCCCUCUACCCCCCAAACAUCUGGUCUCCCAGAACUUUGGAUAUUCUCCCUCGCUUUGUCCCCCCCGCCUCCACCCCGACACGCAGUGGAGGUGCCCCGCGUGGAAAAGGCGACGUUGGAAGAGAGGUAGCCCUCGUGGAGGGCCCCCUGGGCUGGGCACUCAUUCAUUCCCUGGGUGGAAGGCGGCGGAGCAGGGGCCAGCCGGGCGGGGCGAACGCCCGAAGGCGGACUCGCCAGGGGACAUUUGGGAAGAAAGAUUGAAGCCAGAAGUACAUGUGUGAACUUAAGGACACCAGAUGAAAAAUACUGGGCUUUCUCUGAAAGGCAAGAGUCCAAAAAGGAUGUGUUUUGCCACAAACAAGGAAGAUCAAAGUAACAUGCUGUUCUGUUAUUCAACUUAAAAAGAGAGCGCGAUAUUAACAGAAGAAAUCACGGACCAUAAGCAGAAAUGGUAUAAUGAUCUUAUACAGGAGGCCCAAGGUGCAGCCAGGAGCUUCUUGGGACUGCUUGCAUCUGGAGGUUGCUGGAACAUUGCCUCAACUGCCUGGAUGGCAGGUGGCAGUUCUUCUUGCAAAGUCAUGGGAGAAAGUCAUCAAAUCUACAAUAAAGUGUCUUACAGAGCAAUUGGCAAAUGGUUGAGGUCAUUCCAUGGGCCCCUGUAUGCCUGAAGACGCCACCUGUAUGGUCAGCUUCACUUCAGAAUCUUCAGGCUUCACUAGAAGAACAGAUGCAUACAUCCAACAUUUGAUUCUCAGCAAAAUUUUGUCACCAAAUGAUAAUACCCUUCAUGCAGUUUUGUAAGUACAGAGACUCAUUGGAGGUCAUCUGAGGACUCUGAAAAUCUUUGGAAAAAAUCUCCAAUGGGAGAGGGUAACAAUGAGGAUAAUAAUGAAGGCCAAGGAUCAACAGAUAUGUUUCUUCUGCUAGGCUUCCAAUGGGCAAGUGAGCUUUACCAAUGGAUCCUGAAGAAAUAACUUCAUCACAAGGCUUAAUUCUGAAUUUCUAAGCACACACUCGUUUUCCUAAAGGAUCGUUCCCUUUGGGAAUGCUGACUGAAAGUAGAAGUCUGGAAAAAUCUGCACUAAACCCAACAUUCAAGUACUUCCCCAUUAAGCAUAAAGGGGAAAUUGAGCAAGAGCACUGAAGGAGGCAGGCAAACUGGCUUCUUGGCCUACCACGAAUCACUCAUGCGUGAUGGUUAAGUCUGAGCAUCUAGUCAGGGUUUCCAUUUCCUCCCUCAUAGGGUGAAAAGGUUGGACUAAUUAUCUCUAAUCUAUUUUCCACCUUUAGUAUUCUUUGAAUCUAAAUGAUAAUGAUGAUCAAUGAAACUAAUUAUUUUUCUGAGGCUAUCAAUUAUACAUUUGGAUCUCUAAGAAGGAAAUAGAGAAAGGCACAUUACAGAUCUUGUUUUUUGACACUAUUUUCUUGAUUUCCUACAAUUGCUCUGGUACAGUAUGUUCAAUUAAUAAUUUUAUUUACUAUAAUUAGAAUUUCUAAUAUAUCAUAAAAUCCACAGGCAAACAUUACACUAAGAAUGUUCCUACAUGAAACAAAAACCACUAGUUUAUUAAGUAAAACAAAUUAUAUGGCACUGUGUAAAAUAAAACCAACAAGCCUACAGUUUGAUUUUCCCAUUUAUGUGGAAGCUUAUAGAAAUAAUACUGGAGUACUGUAAUACAAAUUAGAAUCAUAAUAUUUAAUAUUAAAAAACAAUAUUCUAACAUUCUCUCUUAAUAGAUUAGAUAAUCUAUAGAGAGGGUGCAUCUGAUUGGUUUUGACCAUGCAGAACUCUCUACACACAAAUCUAUGACAACAAAUUUGAAAAUGUUCAAGAAUGAAUGAUUUAUUAAGAAAAUGAAAAUUGCCAAAUGACCCACAACAAAAGAAAAGUUAAACAGAACAUUUGCUAUAAAACAGAAGGAAAAGGUGAGUGAAUAUCCCUCAAGUUCUGGUUAAUUAUAAAACAAGAUCAUUGCAAUGGUAUUUAAAUUAAGUUUUAUCAUGAAAAAGUUAGAAAUAACCCUAAUUUAUAUUAUAUAAUCAGGAUAACUUUAUACUAAAGAUAGCUCAAUAUAUAGAAAAUUGGAAUUAAUCCCAAUUAUGAUACGUACAAGAUUCUGAAAUUAAAAAAUUAGCAAAUAUCCAGCAAUAUAAGGGGCGCCCGGGUGGCUCAGUUGGUUAAGUGACUGCCUUCAGCUCAGGUCAUGAUCCUGGAGUCCCGGGAUCGAGUCCCACAGAGGGCUUCCUGCUCAGCAGGGAGUCUCCUUCUCCCUCUGACCCUCCUCCCUCUCAUGCUCUCUGUCUCUCAUUCUCUCUCUCUCAAAUAAAUAAAAUCUUAAAAAAAAAAUCCAGCAAUAUAUUAAAAUAGUAAUACCCUACAUUAAAAAAAAAAAAGAAAACAAAGGAAAGCAUAUAAAAACAAGAAGAAAACAUGAGUGAAUUACAUUAUAACCUAGGUGUGGGGAAAGUUACCUUCCUACCUUUGACUCAAGUCCAGGGGCAAUAUGAAAAGAUUGAUAAAUUCAACCCAAAGAAAGCAAAAUAUCACAAAUAAAACAAACCUCUGUAUAGCAAAACUGUAGAAGCAAAGGUAAAAGACCAAUGACAAACCAGGAGAAAAUAUUGGCAAUGUGUAUAAAGGCUAAUAUUCCCAAAUAUGUAUAAAACUUUCAAAAUUUGAGGGUAGAAAAAGAUAAACAAAUGACAGGAAAAUGGGCAAAGCACAUGAACAACAAUUCACACACAAAACACAAAACGGCCAUUAUACAUAUGACAGGAUGCUCAUCUUCACUCAUAAUAAGAGAAAUCUAAAUUUAAAGUAUACUAAAAUAUCAUUUUAACCUACCAAACUGGCAAAAUUAAAAGCCUGAUAUUAUAUUAAAUGGUGAGGCUAAGGGAAACAAGCACUUUGAUAUAUUGCUGGUGUGACUGCAAACAGAUGUAAGCUUUUUGGCCAAGCAAUCACACUUCUAGAAUUCAUCCUUUACAUAUCCUUGCAAUAUGAAAAUACAAAUGUGUAAGAUUAUGCUUUUCAGCAUUAUUUGUAUUUGCAAAAUGUUGGAAACUAUCUAAAGGCUCAGACAUAGGAGACAGGUUGGUAAAACCAUGGUCCAUGCAUACGAGGGAGUGCAAUGCAACUAUUUAAAAAAAUAAAGAAUCUUCUUUAAUUGAUAAGGAGUAUUCCCCAGGAUAUACUGUUAAGUGAUACAAGAAAAAUGCAAAAAAGAAUAAACAGAAGGCUAACUUCUGUGGGAAAAAAAGAAGAAAUAAGAAAGUAUACAUGUAUUUGCUUAGGUUAUCAAAAACAAAAAAUGAGUUAACCAGAGUGUAAAUGAUAAAGUAAAUGGGGCAAAAUGUCUUAAAAAUGAUAAAAUGUUAAAAAUUGGUUAAGUUUGGGUAAUGGUUAUAUAGGUAAAUUGAGUCAAAGAGCAUACAGGGUUUUUUUGGAGUAUUUUUACAAAUUUCUUGUAAGCUGGAAAUUAUUUCAAAAAGAAUGUUAAUAUUAACAUAAUAAUCAUAAUAUACUAUGACCAGUGAAAUCACUUCUAGGAAUGCAGGAAUGAUUUGAACUAAAAAAAAAAAGAAAUAAAUACUUUAAUACACAUGAAAAGGUCAUUUCAUUAAAUAAGAUUAUG
Molecule: long non-coding RNA, 4320 nt
Organism: Mirounga angustirostris (Northern elephant seal)
Lineage: Eukaryota; Metazoa; Chordata; Mammalia; Carnivora; Phocidae
Exons: 5
Source: RefSeq, a predicted model, not a curated record